This 271-nucleotide ribosomal RNA is filed under the name uncultured bacterium. RNAcentral describes it as "partial 16S ribosomal RNA". It matches the Rfam family "Bacterial small subunit ribosomal RNA", at positions 524 to 794 of the family's 1533-position model. The record is from RNAcentral.
UACGAAGGGUGCAAGCGUUAAUCGGAAUUACUGGGCGUAAAGCGCGCGUAGGUGGUUCAGCAAAUUGGAUGUGAAAACCCUGGGCUCAACCUGAGAACUGCAUCCAAAACUACUGAACUAGAGUACGGUAGAGGGUAGUGGAAUUUCCUGUGUAACGGUGAAAUGCGUAGAUAUAGGAAGGAACACCAAUGGCGAAAACGACUACCUGGACUGAUACUGACACUGAAAUACGAAAGCAUAAAGAACAAACAGGAUUAGAUACCCCAGUAGU